RNAcentral lists this long non-coding RNA (196 nucleotides) under Macaca nemestrina (pig-tailed macaque). RNAcentral describes it as "lncRNA (ENSMNEG00000046126.1)". The record is from RNAcentral. Lineage: Eukaryota; Metazoa; Chordata; Mammalia; Primates; Cercopithecidae.
UACAUUUUGAGAGCAUCAGAAGAAGAUAAUCCGGAACAGUUUUUAGACCGGCAUACAAGACUCUGUGGUUGACUUUCUGAAAAGGUCAGUCCUUCUUGGCCUUUUCUGCAGUUCCUGGAACACUGCUCUCAAAAAAUUCAAGCUGAUAGUGGGGAACCAAAAGAGCAGCCAAAGCCUCAGGAAUCCCAGUGACAAG